UUUGAUGACAAAAUACACAAAAUACAUGUUAAAAUUUAACCACACUCCAUCACUUUAUUUGCUUAUCUUUAGCCUGACAAAGCAUUAUACUUUGGUGCGUGGAAAAUCUUAUAAGGAUAACAACAGAGGAGACAAAAUUUGAUGACUUAACUAAUUUGUGCUUGUUAGGAUUAUCGACCCAACACCAACAAACAAUCGUAAAACAGUAAAAAAUAAAGCAAGAACAGAAAAUCGAACACAGAAAUUUUCACCCAGUUCAGCCAAAAAUGGCCUAAUCUGGGGGGCUCAGAGGUAAGCCCGUCACUAGCAAGAAACCUUCAAGAGAGUGUACAACCAGUUGAAGAAACCACAUCAUACCCACUAUAUGAUCAUCGAUCCACAAGGAUCUCUCAAUAACUUGAAAACCUAGCCCACAAGACUAGACAAAACCUUCCCAAGAACACACUACGGAUUUACCAGCCACAAUCAAGGCCUAAAACUCUGUACCAUAGUUCUAUCAUCAUCAGAUAACAACAAGAUUAUAACAAUAAUCUUAACUGGUUCUUCAAUUCAAAAGAGAAAAGAAGAAGCAGAAACAUGAAGGAACUCGAGAGAGAGAGAGAGAAACUUGAAGGGACAAUUUCUGCCAAAUGAAAAGAAAGUGCCGGCUGACUUCUUCUCACCAACCCUUAAAGUCUCCCUUUGCAUUAAUUAUAUGAGACUAAAUCUCAACCAUAGAUGUGGAUCAAUGGUCCAUAAAUGAUAAGAGAAAAACCACAACUCUAGUGACAUUAUUUUAUCCAAUAACCGAAUGCCAUCUGUCCAUGGAGUAUAAAGAGUAGAAAACGUUUUUUCACUUAUGGAUGUGCUGUUUGAGAAUCACGACUUCACAAAUCUUCACCUUGGUUCUCAAACCGCGCACUUCCUCUCUUGUUGCUAUAAUGCUAGUGACAGAACCGUACCCUACAUCAUCGCCCAAGUACCUGCACCAAAAAAAAAACAAAAAUCAACCUGUAUCAAUAUUAAGCAAUGAUAAACAAGAUCUAAAUUUAUUGACAGUCAGUAUUUUAGUCCCCAUAUCAGCAGGAUUAAAAUCAGUAUGAAUUUUCUCAAGAGCCAUUUCACCAGAUGAGAGUUUUUCUUUUAUGAAAUGAUACUUCACCUCAAUGUGUUUUGACCUUUCAUGAUAGACAUGAUUUUUGCUUAAAAGUAAAGCACUUUGACUAUCAGUUAAUAUCACAGGUGGAGUAUUUAGAAAAUUCAGUUCAGUUAAGAUCCCUUUAAGCCACAUGCAUUCUUUUACACAUUCAGUAAUUGCCACAUAUUCAGCUUCAGUGCUAGACAAAGUUACAAUUGAUUGAAGUUGAGACUUCCACGUAAUACAAUUAUCACCAAGUGUAAAAAAGAAGGCAGUUGUAGACUUUCUUUGAUCUUUAUCUCCAGCGAAAUCGGAAUCCACAUAUCCUUUAAGAGUUAAUGGUUUCGAUCCCUUUUUGAACACCAAUCCUACAUUUAGUGUCCCAACUAUGUAUCUAAGUAGCCACUUUAACC
This 1530-nucleotide long non-coding RNA is filed under the name Olea europaea subsp. europaea. Lineage: Eukaryota; Viridiplantae; Streptophyta; Magnoliopsida; Lamiales; Oleaceae. The record is from RNAcentral.